RNAcentral lists this ribosomal RNA (301 nucleotides) under uncultured bacterium. RNAcentral's name for it is "partial 16S ribosomal RNA". It matches the Rfam family "Bacterial small subunit ribosomal RNA", at positions 509 to 807 of the family's 1533-position model. The record is from RNAcentral.
CAGUCGCCGCGGUAAUACGUAGGGUGCGAGCGUUAAUCGGAAUUACUGGGCGUAAAGCGUGCGCAGGCGGUUGUGUAAGACAGGUGUGAAAUCCCCGGGCUUAACCUGGGAACUGCGCUUGUGACUGCACAGCUAGAGUAUGGCAGAGGGGGGUGGAAUUCCACGUGUAGCAGUGAAAUGCGUAGAGAUGUGGAGGAACACCGAUGGCGAAGGCAGCCCCCUGGGCCAAUACUGACGCUCAUGCACGAAAGCGUGGGGAGCAAACAGGAUUAGAGACCCGCGUAGUCCCUGUCUCUUAUAC